Haplochromis burtoni (Burton's mouthbrooder) is the source of this 595-nucleotide RNA transcript. RefSeq lists it as uncharacterized. Lineage: Eukaryota; Metazoa; Chordata; Actinopteri; Cichliformes; Cichlidae. The transcript is spliced from 2 exons. The record is from RefSeq and is a predicted model, not a curated record.
CUUAUAUCGCCAUCCAGCUAAAAAAUAUCGAGAUAUGAAUUUUGGGUCAUAUCGCCCAGCCCUACUCUGGAACUCCUUCCCAUCAGACAUCCAUUACAUUGACUCUCUCUUCACUUACAAGCAAGCAGAAUAUGAAAUGUUUGGUUUGUUAAAUAUGAGAAAAAGGUCAAGUUGCUAAAGCUUAGGGAGACUCGGGGUCAGACUAUGUUGACAUUUUCUUGUCAUAACAUUAGUCACUAUUUUCUUGUGUUCUUGUGUUGAAGAUGAAGUUCUGGAUAACCAGCAGGUCUGUGACCAGAAGAGGAGCUCCAGUCUGGACCAGCAGGACCCAGAGUCUCCACAGACUAAAGAUGAACAAGAGGAAAUCUCCCUCAAUCAGGAAAGUGACCAGCUUUCACUGAAGCCAAAAACCAAAGAUGUCAUCGUCUGGACUGGGCAGGAGCUGGACAUCUUGUGGAACCCUGAAGUAAAGUUGCAAAGAAUAGAUUUUCCACAACAUGACUGUAAGGACAAGGAGGGACUCGCAUAUCAGCACGUCUGCUACCAGACGAACUCCAGUCUGGACCAGGAGGAUCCUUCACAGAUUAAAGAGGAA